This 751-nucleotide ribosomal RNA is filed under the name uncultured bacterium. Its description in RNAcentral is "bacterial SSU rRNA". It matches the Rfam family "Bacterial small subunit ribosomal RNA", at positions 8 to 717 of the family's 1533-position model. The record is from RNAcentral.
AGAGUUUGAUCAUGGCUCAGGAUGAACGCUGGCGGCGUGCCUAAUACAUGCAAGUCGAGCGAACGGAUAAGGAGCUUGCUCCUUUGAAGUUAGCGGCGGACGGGUGAGUAACACGUGGGUAACCUACCUAUAAGACUGGAAUAACUUCGGGAAACCGGAGCUAAUGCCGGAUAACAUUUGGAACCGCAUGGUUCUAAAGUAAAAGAUGGUUUUGCUAUCACUUAUAGAUGGACCCGCGCCGUAUUAGCUAGUUGGUAAGGUAACGGCUUACCAAGGCAACGAUACGUAGCCGACCUGAGAGGGUGAUCGGCCACACUGGAACUGAGACACGGUCCAGACUCCUACGGGAGGCAGCAGUAGGGAAUCUUCCGCAAUGGACGAAAGUCUGACGGAGCAACGCCGCGUGAGUGAUGAAGGUUUUCGGAUCGUAAAACUCUGUUAUUAGGGAAGAACAAAUGUGUAAGUAACUGUGCACAUCUUGACGGUACCUAAUCAGAAAGCCACGGCUAACUACGUGCCAGCAGCCGCGGUAAUACGUAGGUGGCAAGCGUUAUCCGGAAUUAUUGGGCGUAAAGCGCGCGUAGGCGGUUUCUUAAGUCUGAUGUGAAAGCCCACGGCUCAACCGUGGAGGGUCAUUGGAAACUGGGAAACUUGAGUACAGAAGAGGAAAGUGGAAUUCCAUGCGUAGCGGUGAAAUGAAUCACUAGUGCGGCCGCCUGCAGGUCGACCAUAUGGGAGAGCUCCCAACGCG